AUCGCUUCAAGGCUUUAUAAAAGCUAAGAUCAAAGUGUAGUAUCUGUUCUUAUCAGCUUAAUUUCUGGUAUGAAUCCCAAGUGGAUUCGUUUGGAAAUUUGCAUAAGUUUUUGAAAAAAUAGAC
Molecule: small nuclear RNA, 124 nt
Filed under: Trichinella patagoniensis
Lineage: Eukaryota; Metazoa; Nematoda; Enoplea; Trichinellida; Trichinellidae
Description: U2 spliceosomal RNA
Rfam family: U2 spliceosomal RNA
About the family: U2 is a small nuclear RNA (snRNA) component of the spliceosome (involved in pre-mRNA splicing). Complementary binding between U2 snRNA (in an area lying towards the 5' end but 3' to hairpin I) and the branchpoint sequence (BPS) of the intron results the bulging out of an unpaired adenosine, on the BPS, which initiates a nucleophilic attack at the intronic 5' splice site, thus starting the first of two transesterification reactions that mediate splicing.
Source: Rfam by way of RNAcentral